UACGAAGGGGGCUAGCGUUGCUCGGAAUCACUGGGCGUAAAGCGCACGUAGGCGGGUUUUUAAGUCGGGGGUGAAAUCCUGGAGCUCAACUCCAGAACUGCCUUCGAUACUGGCGACCUUGAGUCCGGGAGAGGUGAGUGGAACUCCGAGUGUAGAGGUGAAAUUCGUAGAUAUUCGGAAGAACACCAGUGGCGAAGGCGGCUCACUGGCCCGGUACUGACGCUGAGGUGCGAAAGCGUGGGGAGCAAACAGG
Molecule: ribosomal RNA, 253 nt
Filed under: uncultured bacterium
Lineage: Bacteria
Description: partial 16S ribosomal RNA
Rfam family: Bacterial small subunit ribosomal RNA
Source: RNAcentral